Molecule: ribosomal RNA, 1370 nt
Filed under: uncultured bacterium
Lineage: Bacteria
Description: bacterial SSU rRNA
Rfam family: Bacterial small subunit ribosomal RNA
Source: RNAcentral
AGAGUUUGAUCCUGGCUCAGGACGAACGCUGGCGGCGCGCCUAACACAUGCAAGUCGAACGAGCGAGAGAGAGCUUGCUUUCUCGAGCGAGUGGCGAACGGGUGAGUAACGCGUGAGGAACCUGCCUCAAAGAGGGGGACAACAGUUGGAAACGACUGCUAAUACCGCAUAAGCCCACGGCUCGGCAUCGAGCAGAGGGAAAAGGAGCAAUCCGCUUUGAGAUGGCCUCGCGUCCGAUUAGCUAGUUGGUGAGGUAACGGCCCACCAAGGCGACGAUCGGUAGCCGGACUGAGAGGUUGAACGGCCACAUUGGGACUGAGACACGGCCCAGACUCCUACGGGAGGCAGCAGUGGGGAAUAUUGCACAAUGGGGGAAACCCUGAUGCAGCGACGCCGCGUGGUGGAAGAAGGUCUUCGGAUUGUAAACUCCUGUUGUUGAGGAAGAUAAUGACGGUACUCAACAAGGAAGUGACGGCUAACUACGUGCCAGCAGCCGCGGUAAAACGUAGGUCACAAGCGUUGUCCGGAAUUACUGGGUGUAAAGGGAGCGCAGGCGGGAAGACAAGUUGGAAGUGAAAUCCAUGGGCUCAACCCAUGAACUGCUUUCAAAACUGUUUUUCUUGAGUAGUGCAGAGGUAGGCGGAAUUCCCGGUGUAGCGGUGGAAUGCGUAGAUAUCGGGAGGAACACCAGUGGCGAAGGCGGCCUACUGGGCACCAACUGACGCUGAGGCUCGAAAGUGUGGGUAGCAAACAGGAUUAGAUACCCUGGUAGUCCACACUGUAAACGAUGAUUACUAGGUGUUGGAGGAUUGACCCCUUCAGUGCCGCAGUUAACACAAUAAGUAAUCCACCUGGGGAGUACGACCGCAAGGUUGAAACUCAAAGGAAUUGACGGGGGCCCGCACAAGCAGUGGAGUAUGUGGUUUAAUUCGACGCAACGCGAAGAACCUUACCAAGUCUUGACAUCCUGCGACGGUGCUGGAAACAGUACUUUCCUUCGGGACGCAGAGACAGGUGGUGCAUGGUUGUCGUCAGCUCGUGUCGUGAGAUGUUGGGUUAAGUCCCGCAACGAGCGCAACCCUUAUGGUCAGUUACUACGUAAGAGGACUCUGGCCAGACUGCCGUCGACAAAACGGAGGAAGGUGGGGAUGACGUCAAAUCAUCAUGCCCUUUAUGACUUGGGCUACACACGUACUACAAUGGCGUUAAACAAAGAGAAGCAAGACCGCGAGGUGGAGCAAAACUCAGAAACAACGUCCCAGUUCGGACUGCAGGCUGCAACUCGCCUGCACGAAGUCGGAAUUGCUAGUAAUCGCAGAUCAGCAUGCUGCGGUGAAUACGUUCCCGGGCCUUGCACACACCGCCCGUCA